UACGUAGGGCGCAAGCGUUAUCCGGAAUUAUUGGGCGUAAAGAGCUUGUAGGCGGUUCGUCGCGUCUGGUGUGAAAGCCCAUCGCUUAACGGUGGGUCUGCGCCGGGUACGGGCGGGCUAGAGUGCAGUAGGGGAGACUGGAAUUCCCGGUGUAACGGUGGAAUGUGUAGAUAUCGGGAAGAACACCAAUGGCGAAGGCAGGUCUCUGGGCUGUUACUGACGCUGAGAAGCGAAAGCGUGGGGAGCGAACAGGAUUAGAU
Molecule: ribosomal RNA, 260 nt
Filed under: uncultured Bifidobacteriales bacterium
Lineage: Bacteria; Bacillati; Actinomycetota; Actinomycetes; Bifidobacteriales
Description: partial 16S ribosomal RNA
Rfam family: Bacterial small subunit ribosomal RNA
Source: RNAcentral